This 450-nucleotide ribosomal RNA is filed under the name uncultured bacterium. Its description in RNAcentral is "partial 16S ribosomal RNA". It matches the Rfam family "Bacterial small subunit ribosomal RNA", at positions 354 to 796 of the family's 1533-position model. The record is from RNAcentral.
GUGGGGAAUAUUGGACAAUGGGCGAAAGCCUGAUCCAGCCAUGCCGCGUGUGUGAAGAAGGUCUUCGGAUUGUAAAGCACUUUAAGUUGGGAGGAAGGGCAGUAAGUUAAUACCUUGCUGUUUUGACGUUACCGACAGAAUAAGCACCGGCUAACUUCGUGCCAGCAGCCGCGGUAAUACGAAGGGUGCAAGCGUUAAUCGGAAUUACUGGGCGUAAAGCGCGCGUAGGUGGUUUUGUAAGUUGGAGGUGAAAUCCCCGGGCUCAACCUGGGAACUGGCUCCAAAACUGCAUGACUAGAGUACGGUAGAGGGUAGUGGAAUUUCCUGUGUAGCGGUGAAAUGCGUAGAUAUAGGAAGGAACACCAGUGGCGAAGGCGACUACCUGGACUGAUACUGACACUGAGGUGCGAAAGCGUGGGGAGCAAACAGGAUUAGAUACCCUAGUAGUCC